This 788-nucleotide ribosomal RNA is filed under the name uncultured Campylobacter sp. RNAcentral describes it as "bacterial SSU rRNA". It matches the Rfam family "Bacterial small subunit ribosomal RNA", at positions 417 to 1219 of the family's 1533-position model. Lineage: Bacteria; Pseudomonadati; Campylobacterota; Epsilonproteobacteria; Campylobacterales; Campylobacteraceae. The record is from RNAcentral.
UUCGGAGCGUAAACUCCUUUUCUUGGGAAAGAAUUAUGACGGUACCCAAGGAAUAAGCACCGGCUAACUCCGUGCCAGCAGCCGCGGUAAUACGGAGGGUGCAAGCGUUACUCGGAAUCACUGGGCGUAAAGGACGCGUAGGCGGAUUAUCAAGUCUCUUGUGAAAUCUAACGGCUUAACCGUUAAACUGCUUGGGAAACUGAUAAUCUAGAGUAAGGGAGAGGCAGAUGGAAUUCUUGGUGUAGGGGUAAAAUCCGUAGAGAUCAAGAAGAAUACCCAUUGCGAAAGCGAUCUGCUGGAACUUAACUGACGCUAAUGCGUGAAAGCGUGGGGAGCAAACAGGAUUAGAUACCCUGGUAGUCCACGCCCUAAACGAUGUAUACUAGUUGUUGCUUCGCUAGUCGAGGCAGUAAUGCACCUAACGGAUUAAGUAUACCGCCUGGGGAGUACGGUCGCAAGAUUAAAACUCAAAGGAAUAGACGGGGACCCGCACAAGCGGUGGAGCAUGUGGUUUAAUUCGAAGAUACGCGAAGAACCUUACCCGGACUUGAUAUCUAACAAAUCAUCCAGAGAUGGAAGAGUGUCUGCUUGCAGAAAUGUUAAGACAGGUGCUGCACGGCUGUCGUCAGCUCGUGUCGUGAGAUGUUGGGUUAAGUCCCGCAACGAGCGCAACCCACGUCAUUAGUUGCUAACGGUUCGGCCGAGCACUCUAAUGAGACUGCCUUCGCAAGGAGGAGGAAGGUGUGGACGACGUCAAGUCAUCAUGGCCCUUAUGUCCGGGGCGACAC